UUUGGCCACACCACCUGGAGCAAGCCCGAUCUUGUCUCACCUCAGAAGCUAAGCAGGGCUGGGCCUGGUUAGUACUCGGAUAGGGGGAGAAAUAGCAGUGGAAAAAA
This 107-nucleotide ribosomal RNA is filed under the name Fukomys damarensis (Damara mole-rat). The record is from RNAcentral. Lineage: Eukaryota; Metazoa; Chordata; Mammalia; Rodentia; Bathyergidae.